CUGUGGAGGAAGCGGAGAAGUUUGCUGAGGACUCUAAAAACUCAUGACUGAUCUGCCUAUUCCAACUUUGUCUCCAGAUCAGGUCACGACCUUGGACGCACCAAUGCAGAUGCAGGAGAUUGUGGAGGCCAUUAAAUCAUUACAACCCAGAAAAUCGCCGGGCCCUGAUGGCCUGCCGAAUACUUACAAGUAAGGCACUUUGUGUCUGCCUCCAUCCAGGGGUUCCCUGCCAAACCUCCUGAUAAUGUCAUAGACGAGGUAAUAUCUUUUAACACAACCAAAAAAAAAGCCAUUUCUGUAAUGUUACGCUUGAUAUCUGGUUUGGGCUCUCCCUUCAUGUCGGCUAUCAAAGAGGCUUGGGAACACGAUCUCAAAGUUCGUAUCGCUGAAGCAGAAUGGACUAAAGUUCUAAAACAAAUUAAUUCAUCCUCCAUGUGUGCGAGGCACGCUCUAAUUCAGUUUAAAGUGGUACACAGAGCUCAUAUUCGUAAAUCUAAGCUUUCCAAAAUGUACCCUGAUAUUGAUCCAACAUGUGACAAAUGUAAAGCCGAUGAAGCCACUUUAAUACACAUGCUGUGGACCUGUCCCAAAAUAAAGAAAUAUUGGGAAGGUAUAUGUGAAGCACUCUCUUGUGUA
This is a long non-coding RNA of Nerophis ophidion (straightnose pipefish), 636 nucleotides long. RefSeq lists it as uncharacterized. The transcript has 3 exons. The record is from RefSeq and is a predicted model, not a curated record. Lineage: Eukaryota; Metazoa; Chordata; Actinopteri; Syngnathiformes; Syngnathidae.